CGUAAGGAGCGGCCUAGGGCGAAACUGGUAAUUGGGGCUAAGUCGUAACAAGGUAGCCGUACCGGAAGGUGCGGCUGGAACACCUCCUUU
This 90-nucleotide ribosomal RNA is filed under the name Segatella copri. RNAcentral's name for it is "partial 16S ribosomal RNA". It matches the Rfam family "Bacterial small subunit ribosomal RNA", at positions 1440 to 1533 of the family's 1533-position model. The record is from RNAcentral. Lineage: Bacteria; Pseudomonadati; Bacteroidota; Bacteroidia; Bacteroidales; Prevotellaceae.